ACAUACGACCACAGGGUGUGGAAAACAGGGCUUCCCGUCCGCUCAGCUGUACUUAAGCCACACGCCGGGAGAUUAGUAGUUAGGUAGGUAACCACCAGCAAAUCUCUUCUAUUAUAUAUC
RNAcentral lists this ribosomal RNA (120 nucleotides) under Aspergillus luchuensis. The record is from RNAcentral. Lineage: Eukaryota; Fungi; Ascomycota; Eurotiomycetes; Eurotiales; Aspergillaceae.